CCUACGGGGGGCAGCAGUCGAGAAUCUUCGGCAAUGGGCGCAAGCCUGACCGAGCGACGCCGCGUGCGGGAUGAAGGCCCUCGGGUUGUAAACCGCUGUCGGAGGGGAUGAAAUGCGUGGGGGUACUCCCCCAUGUUUGACAUAUCCUCGGAGGAAGUACGGGCUAAGUUCGUGCCAGCAGCCGCGGUAAGACGAACCGUACAAACAUUAUUCGGAAUCACUGGGCUUAAAGGGUGCGUAGGCGGCGCGGAAAGUUGGGUGUGAAAUCCCUCGGCUCAACCGAGGAACUGCGCUCAAAACUGCCGUGCUUGAGGGAGACAGAGGUGAGCGGAACUUAGGGUGGAGCGGUGAAAUGCGUUGAUAUCCUAAGGAACACCGGUGGCGAAAGCGGCUCACUGGGUCUCUUCUGACGCUGAGGCACGAAAGCUAGGGGAGCGAACGGGAUUAGAUACCCCUGUAGUCCC
This 464-nucleotide ribosomal RNA is filed under the name uncultured Planctomycetaceae bacterium. RNAcentral describes it as "bacterial SSU rRNA". It matches the Rfam family "Bacterial small subunit ribosomal RNA", at positions 338 to 797 of the family's 1533-position model. The record is from RNAcentral. Lineage: Bacteria; Pseudomonadati; Planctomycetota; Planctomycetia; Planctomycetales; Planctomycetaceae.